This 1382-nucleotide long non-coding RNA is filed under the name Ananas comosus (pineapple). Its description in RNAcentral is "long non-coding RNA (ACOM_LNC010642)". The record is from RNAcentral. Lineage: Eukaryota; Viridiplantae; Streptophyta; Magnoliopsida; Poales; Bromeliaceae.
UAAGGCCUCUUGGACAGUCCAAUAAUUAAUGGGCCUUGUUUGGGAGCCGAACUAAAAUUUUCAUGUGUGAGAUUUAGUCCCACAUUGAAAUCUAAAAGGGUGUUGUUGGUAUAUAUAUAUUUCUUUAUUCUCAAGCUAAUUACUUAGAAGAAAAUGAGAAUUACACUCUUGUUUAAACACACGCACGCACAGCACGAGCCAGGCUGGGCCUGGUGGGCGGCUGCACGCGCGGUCCAUACAUCCGGUUUAUUUUAUUUUUAUUUUUUUUGGUUUUAUCUUUAUCCUAAUUCUAAUCCGUAUUCUUAUAAUCUUAGGCUUAUCUUGUUAUAUUAUUUUUUUCGGUUUUAUCUUUAUCCUAAUUCUAAUCCAUAUUCUUAUAAUCUUAGGCUUAUUUUGUUAUACACGGAUUUGACUCGUUAAAGCAAAAUUCUCGUCUUGAUUAUAUAUAUUGGAGGAGGUUGCAUGAGUUCGAGAAGAACCGGAGCAUACCUAAAUCCUACCUCACUUUUUUUCUACUUUCUCGUCAUUGGUUUUUUGCGACGAUUUUCGCCGAGCUUUUUUUGCUAGAUUUGAAGUUUGUUGGGUUCGUCUUGCGCCAUCUUGGAAGCAUGCCAACGGGGUGGAACGUCGUCAUUGUAUCGUUGGAAAUUGUUGGGGAGCCUUGCACGUGGAGGGACAAUUUUGCUUAUAGGAUAGUGCUCUGCACGUCUCGAUCUACAUAUCUUAUCUAAACAUUUUCUUCACAGUAUUUGUUAUUUAUUUUCUUUCUCAAAAUUUUUAUAAACCUGAAAUUAAAUUUUCAAAUUAUUUUUAAAUAAUAUUUUAAUAAAAGAUCAGAAAGAUUUUUCAAUAGGAGGAAGGUGAAAGUGGAAGGGGGGAAGGAGAGAGCGCAAGAGAGAGGGGAAAAGAUUGAGGAGAGGAGAGAGAAUAAAGGUGGCUUGUUAUAAAGUUGCCUUUCGGAGUACGGAGGGAGGGCGAGAAGAAGUAGAGUGUGGUCACUAGCGCUUUAUGGGCGUGUUUGGUUCAAAGUCAGAAUCGGAAUCAGAAUCGAAAUCGAAAUAAGCUGGAAUCAAAAUCGGAAUGACUCAUUACCUAAUUCUGUUUGAUUCAUCACCUGAAUCGAAAUCAGAAUAAAUCAUUGCCAUUGUCGGUGUUUGGUUCAGGUAAAUAUAAAAAACGUAAUUAAACUUUAAAGUUGAAUGGAUAAUUCGAAAUAUAAAAGUAAAUUUUGAUUUAUUCAAAUUCAAACUUAAAAUUAUAAUUUAAAUUUUAAUUUGAAUCCAUAAAUUUAAUUUAAGUUUUAAAUAAAAUUUGAAUAAACUUUAUAUAAAUUAAAAUUUAAUUUAAAUUUAAAUUCAUAAGUUAGAUUCGAAAUACUUGAU